Long non-coding RNA from Polistes canadensis, 530 nucleotides. RefSeq lists it as uncharacterized. The transcript is spliced from 3 exons. NCBI's taxonomy places the organism in Eukaryota, Metazoa, Arthropoda, Insecta, Hymenoptera, Vespidae. The record is from RefSeq and is a predicted model, not a curated record.
UAUAUAAAUUAUAACUAAUUAUUUAUUACAUUGCUCCCAGUUAACCACUUGCGGUGCAAAGAAAUUCUCGGUUGCGCGUGCCAGAACAAUCGAGCGGGAAUCCUUGUCUUCUCCGUUAAUUUAUAGAAAUAACAUCACUGGCUUCGCUAUCACUUUCCAUUUUAUAGUCUGGGGUCAAUACUGAUAACUUUACACGAUGAAGAGCAAGCAGAAACUGUGCCUCGAUGUUGAUUGUUGCGGUAAUGCUAGGUGAGUUGGUCUAGACUGCAACGAAAUGGGCCGGGACAAAGAAGCCUGCGAUAAAGACAGUUCAGGUGCAGGAAGUUGUGACGAAACAGUUGGUUUUUGGGGCCAAAUAGGAGUUACUGGUGGUGCAGUAGAUAUUCCAGAUGUACCUGAUGCUAUUGGUGUUUCUGGGGAUGUCCCUGAUGUAGUUGGUGUUUUUGGAGAUGAUGGGAUUGAUCUUCUUGAAGAUUUGGGUGGUGUUUUAGGUUGAUUUUUACUUUUUCCCCUACCUCUUCCUUUACCUC